AAUGAACGCUGGCGGCGUGCCUAAUACAUGCAAGUCGAGCGAGCAAUUUUAGCAGAAUACCCUCGGGUAGGAAGCUAAGAGCGCGAGCGGCGGAUGGGUGAGUAACACGUGGGCAACCUACCCUUUAGCUGGGGAUACCACUUGGAAACAGGUGCUAAUACCGAAUAAGAAGCAAGAGCGCAUGCUCAAGCUAUGAAAGGCGGCUUUAAGCUGUCACUAAAGGAUGGGCCCGCGGUGCAUUAGCUAGUUGGUAAGGUAACGGCUUACCAAGGCGAUGAUGCAUAGCCGAGUUGAGAGACUGAACGGCCACAUUGGGACUGAGACACGGCCCAAACUCCUACGGGAGGCAGCAGUAGGGAAUCUUCCACAAUGGACGCAAGUCUGAUGGAGCAACGCCGCGUGAGUGAAGAAGGUUUUCGGAUCGUAAAGCUCUGUUGUUGGUGAAGAAGGAUAAGGAUAGUAACUGAUUCAUAUUUGACGGUAAUCAACCAGAAAGUCACGGCUAACUACGUGCCAGCCGCCGCGGUAA
RNAcentral lists this ribosomal RNA (529 nucleotides) under uncultured bacterium. RNAcentral describes it as "partial 16S ribosomal RNA". It matches the Rfam family "Bacterial small subunit ribosomal RNA", at positions 29 to 523 of the family's 1533-position model. The record is from RNAcentral.